UGCUUUUGAGCUUGUGGUAAGGCACAC
Molecule: non-coding RNA, 27 nt
Filed under: Mus musculus (house mouse)
Lineage: Eukaryota; Metazoa; Chordata; Mammalia; Rodentia; Muridae
Also listed under: 1 other name
Source: RNAcentral